GACGAACGCUGGCGGCAUGCCUAAUACAUGCAAGUCGAGCGAACGGAUGAAGUGCUUGCACUUCUGACGUUAGCGGCGAACGGGUGAGUAACACGUAAGGAAUCUACCUAUAAGCGGGGGAUAACAUUCGGAAACGGGUGCUAAUACCGCAUAAUAUCUUCUUCCGCAUGGAAGAAGAUUGAAAGACGGCUCUGCUGUCACUUACAGAUGACCUUGCGGUGCAUUAGUGAGUUGGUGGGGUAAUGGCCUACCAAGACGAUGAUGCAUAGCCGACCUGAGAGGGUGAUCGGCCACAUUGGGACUGAGACACGGCCCAAACUCCUACGGGAGGCAGCAGUAGGGAAUCUUCCGCAAUGGGCGAAAGCCUGACGGAGCAAUGCCGCGUGAGUGAAGAAGGCCUUCGGGUCGUAAAACUCUGUUAUAAGAGAAGAACAAAUUGUAGAGUAACUGCUACGGUCUUGACGGUAUCUUAUCAGAAAGUCACGGCUAACUACGUGCCAGCCGCCGCAGUAA
Molecule: ribosomal RNA, 513 nt
Filed under: uncultured bacterium
Lineage: Bacteria
Description: partial 16S ribosomal RNA
Rfam family: Bacterial small subunit ribosomal RNA
Source: RNAcentral